RNAcentral lists this long non-coding RNA (268 nucleotides) under Mytilus galloprovincialis (Mediterranean mussel). Lineage: Eukaryota; Metazoa; Mollusca; Bivalvia; Mytilida; Mytilidae. The record is from RNAcentral.
GGCCUUUUAUAGCUAACUAUGCGGUAUGGGCUUUGCUCAUUGUUGAAGGCCAUAUGGUGACAUAUAGUUGUUAUUGUCUCUGUCAUUUUGGUCUCGUGUGGACAGUUGUCUCAUUGGCAAUCAUACCACAUCUUCUUUUUUAUAUGAACUGUAAAUCAUAAAAAAAUAUUUAUUGUGCAACCUGUCCCACUUGUAAUCAUAAGUACAUAGGUCAAACCAAUAGGCCAAUUGAUAAAGUGAGAGUUCACAAAGUGACAGCAGAUAAAGG